UACGAAGGGGGCUAGCGUUGUUCGGAAUCACUGGGCGUAAAGCGCACGUAGGCGGACUUUCAAGUCAGGGGUGAAAUCCCGGGGCUCAACCUCGGAAUUGCCUUUGAUACUGUAGGUCUCGAGUCCGGAAGAGGUGGGUGGAAUUCCUAGUGUAGAGGUGAAAUUCGUAGAUAUUAGGAAGAACACCGGUGGCGAAGGCGGCCAACUGGACGAAUACUGACGCUGAGACACGAAAGCGUGGGGAGCAAACAGG
Molecule: ribosomal RNA, 253 nt
Filed under: uncultured bacterium
Lineage: Bacteria
Description: partial 16S ribosomal RNA
Rfam family: Bacterial small subunit ribosomal RNA
Source: RNAcentral